AUUGAACGCUGGCGGCAUGCCUUACACAUGCAAGUCGAACGGCAGCACGGGGCAACCUGGUGGCGAGUGGCGAACGGGUGAGUAAUGCAUCGGAACGUGCCUUUCAGUGGGGGAUAACGUAGCGAAAGUUACGCUAAUACCGCAUAUUCUGUGAGCAGGAAAGCAGGGGAUCGCAAGACCUUGCGCUGAUUGAGCGGCCGAUGUCAGAUUAGCUAGUUGGUGAGGUAAAGGCUCACCAAGGCGACGAUCUGUAGCGGUGCUGAGAGGAUGAUCCGCCACACUGGAACUGAGACACGGUCCAGACUCCUACGGGAGGCAGCAGUGGGGAAUUUUGGACAAUGGGGGCAACCCUGAUCCAGCCAUGCCGCGUGAGUGAAGAAGGCCUUCGGGUUGUAAAGCUCUUUCGGCCGGGAAGAAAUCGCACGGGCUAAUACCCUGUGUGGAUGACGGUACCGGAAUAAGAAGCACCGGCUAACUACGUGCCAGCCGCCGCGGUAA
RNAcentral lists this ribosomal RNA (498 nucleotides) under uncultured bacterium. Its description in RNAcentral is "partial 16S ribosomal RNA". It matches the Rfam family "Bacterial small subunit ribosomal RNA", at positions 30 to 523 of the family's 1533-position model. The record is from RNAcentral.